AUACCGUGAUCAAAUAGGCGGUUCCCCCAGGGCGAGGCUGCUCCAUUGCACUGCGGAACGGUUGACCCUUGCGAUUACCCCUAAUGCGGGUAACUCGGACGCGUAAUUUUUGGUAGUGGGGA
RNAcentral lists this small nuclear RNA (122 nucleotides) under Bombyx mori (domestic silkworm). Its description in RNAcentral is "partial U1 snRNA". It matches the Rfam family "U1 spliceosomal RNA", at positions 21 to 143 of the family's 166-position model. From Rfam's summary of the family: U1 is a small nuclear RNA (snRNA) component of the spliceosome (involved in pre-mRNA splicing). Its 5' end forms complementary base pairs with the 5' splice junction, thus defining the 5' donor site of an intron. There are significant differences in sequence and secondary structure between metazoan and yeast U1 snRNAs, the latter being much longer (568 nucleotides as compared to 164 nucleotides in human). The record is from RNAcentral. Lineage: Eukaryota; Metazoa; Arthropoda; Insecta; Lepidoptera; Bombycidae.